RNAcentral lists this ribosomal RNA (676 nucleotides) under Salmonella enterica subsp. enterica serovar Infantis. Its description in RNAcentral is "partial 23S ribosomal RNA". It matches the Rfam family "Bacterial large subunit ribosomal RNA", at positions 2259 to 2925 of the family's 2925-position model. The record is from RNAcentral. Lineage: Bacteria; Pseudomonadati; Pseudomonadota; Gammaproteobacteria; Enterobacterales; Enterobacteriaceae. RNAcentral also lists the same sequence under 4 other names.
UGGUGGGUAGUUUGACUGGGGCGGUCUCCUCCUAAAGAGUAACGGAGGAGCACGAAGGUUGGCUAAUCCUGGUCGGACAUCAGGAGGUUAGUGCAAUGGCAUAAGCCAGCUUGACUGCGAGCGUGACGGCGCGAGCAGGUGCGAAAGCAGGUCAUAGUGAUCCGGUGGUUCUGAAUGGAAGGGCCAUCGCUCAACGGAUAAAAGGUACUCCGGGGAUAACAGGCUGAUACCGCCCAAGAGUUCAUAUCGACGGCGGUGUUUGGCACCUCGAUGUCGGCUCAUCACAUCCUGGGGCUGAAGUAGGUCCCAAGGGUAUGGCUGUUCGCCAUUUAAAGUGGUACGCGAGCUGGGUUUAGAACGUCGUGAGACAGUUCGGUCCCUAUCUGCCGUGGGCGCUGGAGAACUGAGGGGGGCUGCUCCUAGUACGAGAGGACCGGAGUGGACGCAUCACUGGUGUUCGGGUUGUCAUGCCAAUGGCACUGCCCGGUAGCUAAAUGCGGAAGAGAUAAGUGCUGAAAGCAUCUAAGCACGAAACUUGCCCCGAGAUGAGUUCUCCCUGAGACUUAGAGUCUCCUGAAGGAACGUUGAAGACGACGACGUUGAUAGGCCGGGUGUGUAAGCGCAGCGAUGCGUUGAGCUAACCGGUACUAAUGAACCGUGAGGCUUAACCUUACAA